Molecule: ribosomal RNA, 253 nt
Filed under: uncultured bacterium
Lineage: Bacteria
Description: partial 16S ribosomal RNA
Rfam family: Bacterial small subunit ribosomal RNA
Source: RNAcentral
UACGGAGGGUGCAAGCGUUAAUCGGAAUUACUGGGCGUAAAGCGUGCGCAGGCGGUUUGUUAAGUCCGUUGUGAAAGCCCCGAGCUCAACUUGGGAAUUGCAGUGGAUACUGGCAAGCUGGAGUACGGUAGAGGAAGGUGGAAUUCCCGGUGUAGCAGUGAAAUGCGUAGAGAUCGGGAGGAACACCAGUGGCGAAGGCGGCCUUCUGGACCAGUACUGACGCUCAUGCACGAAAGCGUGGGGAGCAAACAGG